GGAGUUAGCCGGUGCUUCUUCUGCGAGUAACGUCACAGAUGUAAGGUAUUAACUUACACCCUUUCCUCCUCGCUGAAAGUGCUUUACAACCCGAAGGCCUUCUUCACACACGCGGCAUGGCUGCAUCAGGGUUUCCCCCAUUGUGCAAUAUUCCCCACUGCUGCCUCCCGUAGGAGUCUGGGCCGUGUCUCAGUCCCAGUGUGGCUGAUCAUCCUCUCAGACCAGCUAGGGAUCGUCGCCUAGGUGAGCCUUUACCUCACCUACUAGCUAAUCCCACCUGGGCUUAUCCAUCAGCGCAAGGCCCGAAGGUCCCCUGCUUUCCCCCGUAGGGCGUAUGCGGUAUUAGCAGUCGUUUCCAACUGUUAUCCCCCACAAAUGGGCAAAUUCCCAGGCAUUACUCACCCGUCCGCCGCUCGUCAUCUUCAAAAGCAAGCUUUUGAAAUGUUACCGCUCGACUUGCAUGUGUUAGGCCUGCCGCCAGCGUUCAAUCUGAGCCAGGAAUCGAAAACCUCUACGACUAGACGGCGGUCGUCGGACGAACGGCGACAAGU
This 551-nucleotide ribosomal RNA is filed under the name uncultured bacterium. Its description in RNAcentral is "partial 16S ribosomal RNA". The record is from RNAcentral.